CCUUGUACACACCGCCCGUCACAUCAUGAAAGCCGUUUGUACCCGAAGUCAUCCCUCAAAAGAUGCCGAAGGUAUGGAUGGUGAUUGGGAUG
This 92-nucleotide ribosomal RNA is filed under the name uncultured bacterium. RNAcentral describes it as "partial 16S ribosomal RNA". It matches the Rfam family "Bacterial small subunit ribosomal RNA", at positions 1379 to 1482 of the family's 1533-position model. The record is from RNAcentral.